Long non-coding RNA from Argentina anserina (silverweed cinquefoil), 842 nucleotides. RefSeq lists it as uncharacterized. The transcript is spliced from 7 exons. The record is from RefSeq and is a predicted model, not a curated record. NCBI's taxonomy places the organism in Eukaryota, Viridiplantae, Streptophyta, Magnoliopsida, Rosales, Rosaceae.
CAGGUGAUGCUCACAAUUCUAACUCCAAUUGGAGCUAGGUGAUGUGCAGUAUUUGCAUUUACUUUCAGAGACCAAUGUUACAUGCAUUCUGAAUUUUCAUAAGGUCUGAAAUAAGGGAAGGACAAUACAUAUUUGACAUACCCACUAUAGCAAAUAGCAUUGGAGUUGGGGCAACCGUCCUAUCCAACCAUUUACAGAACUUGAAGGUUUCAGGAAGUAUGACUUACAAUGGUCAUGGCAUGCACAAGUUUGUGCCUCAGAGGACUGCAGUAUAUAUUGGUCAACAUGAUGUUCAUAUUGCAGAAAUGACAGUAGCAGAGACCUAGGAUAUGCUAGCAGAGCUAAGUAGAAGAGAGAAAGAUGCUAGUAUCAAGCUAGAUCCUGCCUUGGAUAUCUACAUGAAGGGAGUAGCAUAAGAAAGCCAAAGGGCAACGUUUCUGACAAAUUACAUUCUUAAGGUUUUGGGAUUGGAAGACUAUGCAGAUACCUUGGUAGGGGAUCAAUUGAUAAGGGGUAUCUCUGGAGGACAAAGGAAGCGAGUUACAACUGGUGAAAUGUUGGUUGGACCUGCGAAGGCACUAUGCAUGAAUGAAAUAUCAACCGGUUUGGAUAGUUCAACAACUUAUCAUAUAGUGAAUUCCAUCAAGUAAUAUGUUCACAAUCUCCAAGGGACUGCAUUCAUCUCAUUACUGCCAUUUGUAAUAUGUUUAAUUGUAAUAUUUUUUAGUAUUUUUUUCUUUUUGGUAAACCUGUAAUCGAAAUAAUUAAAAAUUUUGGCUGCGAAAUUUGCUUGCCAUUUUUUUAUUUUUAUAAAAAUGCUUAGCGACGGCAAUUUUACUGUC